RNAcentral lists this transfer RNA (85 nucleotides) under Felis catus (domestic cat). It matches the Rfam family "tRNA". From Rfam's summary of the family: Transfer RNA (tRNA) molecules are approximately 80 nucleotides in length. Their secondary structure includes four short double-helical elements and three loops (D, anti-codon, and T loops). The record is from Rfam by way of RNAcentral. Lineage: Eukaryota; Metazoa; Chordata; Mammalia; Carnivora; Felidae.
GCCUGGGUGGCUCAGUCGGUUGAGCAUCUGACUUCGGCUCAGGUCAUGAUCUCACGGUCUGUGAGUUUGAGCCCCGCAUCGGGCU